Molecule: long non-coding RNA, 707 nt
Organism: Pezoporus occidentalis (night parrot)
Lineage: Eukaryota; Metazoa; Chordata; Aves; Psittaciformes; Psittacidae
Exons: 3
Source: RefSeq, a predicted model, not a curated record
GCCCGCAGGAGGAGGAAAAUGGCGGCCGCGGGGGGGUCCACGCUCCGGGCCCCGAGACCCGCCUCGGACCCGCCGGGUUGCUGCUGUGGAGAUGGGGCCCUCAGUGCCAUGAGUUAGUGGUGGACGUGGCAGCGCUGGGGUAAUUGUUGGACUUGAUGAUCUUAAAGGUCUUUUCCAGCCUGACUCCAUUUCCUCAAAAAAAAGCUGUGGAAUUUCCUUGCUGCACCCAACCUCCCAGGCUACUCUAGCAGCAGCUUCUCAUCGUUAUUUCUCCACUUAAAUCAGCCAACUCAAGAGAUCAAAGAACAGCAGUUUCACCGCUUUGCAAAGUUACGCUCUCCUCCUGCUUGACUGUCGCGGAUUCCACCACCAGGAGGCCCUCAUUAAAGUGCUUGUAGCUAGGCGAAGAAAACACAAGGACGGAGAAACGAGAUGGAGAAACCCAUUCCCAUAGAAGUAACCUGAAACGAAUACUUAUCCUAUAAAUAGAGAUUUAUUUUUUUCGAGCGUUGUGCAGGCAUCAGUUCUUGCAGGAAUCCUAAUAUCCAAACCAUCGAUUGUACUUUAACUUUUUAGGAUAAGGGGGUGUCACAGGUGGUAUUCCUGCAUUGUAUCACUAAGUUAUAGCCAGGGAAGUUCCUGCCUUUGUCUUCUGGAUAGUAAAGCUUUUAAUAAUGUAAUGAAAAUAAUAAAAUAGGAUAAAGCAC